This 440-nucleotide ribosomal RNA is filed under the name uncultured bacterium. RNAcentral's name for it is "partial 16S ribosomal RNA". It matches the Rfam family "Bacterial small subunit ribosomal RNA", at positions 338 to 795 of the family's 1533-position model. The record is from RNAcentral.
CCUACGGGUGGCAGCAGUGGGGAAUAUUGCACAAUGGGCGAAACCCUGAUGCAGCGACGCCGCGUGAGUGAAGAAGGAUCUCGGUACGUAAAGCUCUAUCAGCAGGGAAGAAAAUGACGGUACCUGACUAAGAAGCCCCGGCUAACUACGUGCCAGCAGCCGCGGUAAUACGGAGGGGGCAAGCGUUAGCCGGAUUUACUGGGUGUAAAGGGAGCGUAGACGGCAGCACAAGUCUGGAGUGAAAUCCCGGGGCUUAACCCCGGAACUGCUUUGGAAACUGGGCGGCUGGAGUGCAGUAGGGGUAAGCGGAAUUCCAUGUGUAGCGGUGAAAUGCGUAGAUAUUAGGAGGAACACCGGUGGCGAAGGCGGCUUACUAAACUGCCACUGACAUUGAUGCUCGAAAGUGUGGGUAGCAAACAGGAUUAGAUACCCGAGUAGUC